GGAGAGUUAUAUUGACUCCAAGAGUAAGUUAUAAAAGCUACUCCAAAUCAUGACCUUUGAUUUUAAUUUCAAUUAAUGGCUAAGAUUGAUUGAUCAUAAAACACAAAGUGAGACUUUUUUUUUAUUGUAUUGGAAAAUUAUCAAAACAUACCUUAAAUAGAAGAGAAUGAAUCAAUUAUAAUCAUCAAUUGAGACUUAUUUUUUGAUCACAUGGGAAAACAAUGAUUCCACACACUCUGAAAUGAUGUAACACUAAUCGUUUGACAAU
RNAcentral lists this long non-coding RNA (268 nucleotides) under Trifolium pratense (red clover). Its description in RNAcentral is "long non-coding RNA (TPRA_LNC000553)". The record is from RNAcentral. Lineage: Eukaryota; Viridiplantae; Streptophyta; Magnoliopsida; Fabales; Fabaceae.